GCCUCCCUCCGCCGCCACUCAGACUCCGUACGGGAGGCGAGCAGUGGGAAGUAGUUGCGCAAUGGGCGGAAGCCGUGACGCAGCGACGCCGCGUGGGGGAGUGGAAUGCUUCGGUUGUAACCCUUUCACGCAGGGACGAAGCGAGAGUGACGGUACCUGCAGAAGAAGCGCCGGCUAACUACGUGCCAGCAGCCGCGGUAAUUC
RNAcentral lists this ribosomal RNA (204 nucleotides) under uncultured bacterium. RNAcentral describes it as "partial 16S ribosomal RNA". It matches the Rfam family "Bacterial small subunit ribosomal RNA", at positions 307 to 526 of the family's 1533-position model. The record is from RNAcentral.